RNAcentral lists this ribosomal RNA (511 nucleotides) under uncultured archaeon. RNAcentral's name for it is "bacterial SSU rRNA". It matches the Rfam family "Archaeal small subunit ribosomal RNA", at positions 346 to 859 of the family's 1478-position model. The record is from RNAcentral.
ACCUCUGCAAUAGGCGAAAGCUUGACAGGGUUACUCUGAGUGAUGUCCGCUAAGGGCAUCUUUUGGCACCUCUAAAAAUGGUGCAGAAUAAGGGGUGGGCAAGUCUGGUGUCAGCCGCCGCGGUAAUACCAGCACCCCGAGUGGUCGGGACGAUUAUUGGGCCUAAAGCAUCCGUAGCUUGUCCUGCAAGUCUUCCGUUAAAUCCACCUGCUCAACAGAUGGGCUGCGGGGGAUACUACAGGGCUAGGAGGCGGGAGAGGCAAACGGUACUCAGUGGGUAGGGGUAAAAUCCACUGAUCCACUGAAGACCACCAGUGGCGAAGGCGGUUUGCCAGAACGCGCUCGACGGUGAGGGAUGAAAGCUGGGGGAGCAAACCGGAUUAGAUACCCGGGUAGUCCCAGCUGUAAACGAUGCAGACUCGGUGAUGGGUUGGCUUUGAGCCAACCCAGUGCCGCAGGGAAGCCGUUAAGUCUGCCGCCUGGGGAGUACGGUCGCAAGACUGAAACUUAA